This 468-nucleotide ribosomal RNA is filed under the name uncultured bacterium. RNAcentral's name for it is "partial 16S ribosomal RNA". It matches the Rfam family "Bacterial small subunit ribosomal RNA", at positions 28 to 507 of the family's 1533-position model. The record is from RNAcentral.
GACGAACGCUGGCGGCGUGCUUAACACAUGCAAGUCGAACGGAAAGGCCCUGCUUUUGUGGGGUGCUCGAGUGGCGAAAGGGUGAGUAACACGUGAGUAACCUGCCCUUGACUUUGGGAUAACUUCAGGAAACUGGGGCUAAUACCGGAUAGGAGCUCCUGCUGCAUGGUGGGGGUUGGAAAGUUUCGGCGGUUGGGGAUGGACUCGCGGCUUAUCAGCUUGUUGGUGGGGUAGUGGCUUACCAAGGCUUUGACGGGUAGCCGGCCUGAGAGGGUGACCGGCCACAUUGUGCCUGAGAUACGGCCCAGACUCCUACGGGAGGCAGCAGUGGGGAAUAUUGCACAAUGGGCGGAGUCCUGAUGCAGCAACGCCGCGUGCGGGAUGACUGUCUUCGGGUUGUAACCCGCUUUCGCCUGUGACGAAGCGUGAGUGACGGUAAUGGGUAAAGAAGCACCGGCUAACUACGUG